Non-coding RNA from Zootoca vivipara (common lizard), 13549 nucleotides. NCBI's taxonomy places the organism in Eukaryota, Metazoa, Chordata, Lepidosauria, Squamata, Lacertidae. The record is from RefSeq and is a predicted model, not a curated record.
GCGCGAGCGAGCUCGAGGAAUAGGUGGCCUUGACCCCCGGCCCGGCCAGCUGUAGGCGCACCCGCUUUUACCUCAACCCCACCUCACCCCCGCGCCGACCUUACCCAACUACCCUCUCCUCAGGUUGCCCAAAUUUCAUCCUUCUGACUGGUUGUCAGGACCGGACGGCGCAAGCGGGAAUAACGCUCGUAUGCCAAAUACUUUCCACAAUGCUUGGUGAAUAUGAUGAUAUAGAAGCAUUUGAAGAUGCUCUCUACUGUGAAGAGUCUUCUAGUGAAGAAAGUAUUGAUAGCGAAGUAGAAUUUCACCUUUAUAGCCAAGUCCAUUAUGCACAAGGCAAUGAGGAUGCCAUUGGAGAAGAAGAAACUGAAGAACAUGGAUCUGGGCAAAAGCAGAGUUUAGUUAGUAAAGAGCAAAAAACCAACAACUUUAUUAUAAUUUCAGACAGUGAAGUCACUCACGUUUCUGAUAGUCCAGAUGUUAUCACCUUGUCAGACACCCCUGAUGAAGACAGCAUUUACAGAAGCAGACGCCAGAAGCGAACAACACCAGGUGCUCCAGUGCCAGGAAGAACAUACAAUCUUGGAGAGCUCACCUCGCCAAAGCCCACUAGACAUUCUUCUCAGAUUACUCCAAAUUCAAAGGGAUGGACCACAGGAAUUUCAAAAAAGGAGAAAAGGACUAGUGAAAAGUCUAUCUCCUUUCACCGUGAAGGUAUUCGCAUGAUCCACAAGAUCUUAGUAAUAGAGGACAGCUCUAGUGACGAGAAUGCAGAUGAUGUGAGAAGCAUUGCCUCUGAAAGUGAUAAUGUAGAGAGCUGGAUGCUGCUGGGAGGUGCCAGAGAGGACAAAGAUGACAACAUCCUCUUAAAUCUCGAGGGGUGUGGAACAUUAGCCAGUGAAGGAGAAGGUGGAGCAGACUGGAACAUCAGUGAUAAAGACUUAGAGGCACGGAUUGGCAACUAUGUUACAGUGCGGCACAACAACAGAUACUACAUGCCAGACAAAAAUGUCACUUGCAGAAAUUGUGAUAAACGAGGUCACUUAUCAAAAAAUUGUCCUACCCCAAAGAAAAUUCCACCUUGUUGUCUGUGUUCUGAAAGAGGUCACCUACAAAACAACUGUCCUGCACGAUUUUGUUUAAAUUGUUGUUUGCCUGGACACUACUCGAGAGAGUGCCUUGAGAGAACGUACUGGAAAAAACAUUGUAACCGCUGUGAUAUGAGAGGCCAUUAUGCAGACGCUUGCCCAGAAAUAUGGAGGCAGUAUCACCUAACAACCAGGCCGGGACCACUGAAGCAGGCUGAAACACAUGUUGAGCAUUCUGCUUCCGUGUACUGUUACAACUGUGCAGAGAAAGGCCAUUAUGGAUAUGAAUGUUCAGAGAGGCGGAUGUUUGGAGGGACAUUUCCUACUUCCCCCUUCAUCUAUUACUAUGAUAGCAGAUAUGAUAUCAAGAGGCGUCAUCAGAGAGUAAAGAAAAAAGUGCAAGAACUUCAGGAUGCAGGCCUUGUGCCAAAGGCUCUGAAGAGACCACGCAUAGACAAUGGCCAGAAACUGCCCGGCCAUAAAAAGAAGAAGAAAACAUUAAAGGACCAUGACAAGAGAGGAGAUAAGCAUCAUAAAAAGCUGAAGAAAAUGUCCCAGGCCAACAUACUCAAAGGAAGGAAGGAUAAGGUGGUCCAGAGUAACUAUAACAUGGAAGAGGACUUUCCCAGAGGUGGUAACAGGGAUGCUCUUAAAAAGAGCAGGAAAACCAGGGCACAUGGCACCUUUGGCCUCCCAGCAAAUGGAGGCAAAGCAGAAAUCCUUCAGGGUUCUCUGGAGAGAGCAAAAAAGAGGAAGAAGAAGAAACGGAGAAACUACACAAGUGGUAGCUCUCCCAGGGAUGAGAGUUUAUUCCUGAUAAAACAGAGGAAGAAGAAAUCAAAACAGAAACCCAAAUUGUGACAGAAGGGGGAAUGGAUGUGGGGUUGGGGGCUAAGCUUGAGACAGCUUUCACACCAUCACCCACCCACACCCCAUUCCAAUGUGGAACAUAAAACCAUCCGUAAGUGCAGGCUGGGAUACGAAAAAACCUAAAACAAAAUCCAGCUUUAGAGAAGAACUUUGCAGAAGGCAUGGAUAUUGAACAGUUCACAGAGGGCAUGGAUAUUGAACAAAUUGACUUAAAGCUGCUUCACAUGCUUGACCGAAAUGGGAACAGAAUUACAUAAGACCUGACAGUAGGAGUCACUUCGUGCUGUUUCUCUUGGUGCUUCUGUAGGAUGUGUGAAACGGGUCUAGGAAACAAGACUGAAGAGAGUUCUCAUCUACAUCCUAAUUUAUUUCAAUCCCAGAGUUGAUCCAUGAUGUCGCCUUCUUGUGCAUUUUUCUGCCUUGAGGAAUAUGCUGAAGUGUCUUUAACUUGUCAUAGAUGCAUCACCACAAGUUGGACUGGCAAGUCUGGUUGUAAGAGCUAGUCUUUUAUGUAGGAAGGCUUCAAUUCUGAAAUCUCAGCCUCUCAGGUGCUCUCCUGCUGAAUUUCAAGGGGAUUACUAGUAAGUGACUUCAUGGUUGUCUCCUAAUAUAUUUAACGUGCCAACAAAGAAAUUAAAGUAUUAUUUUUUAUUUUUAAAAACCCCAAUUUAAAUAGUUAAAUCUUCAUAGAGAUAGCUGUUCAAGUUAUAAAGAUAAUGAUUGUGUAAGAAGUUUACCUGUUCUCAGAAAUAAAUUGACAUAUAAUUCAGUUGCUUUAAAAUUAGGAAUUUUUGUACUUUAACUGAAUUACAGUUAAAAUUUUAAGGUAGGAAUAAAAUGCAGUAUUCAAUCAGGAAAACAACAUUUUUAGUGCCUUCCUUGUUUCCUUAAAAUUACACUUAUACUGUCUUAACAUUAAUACUGCCAACCCAUGUUAGCGCUAACUCAAGGAUUUUGGGCUGUUUCACACACUCUUUUUUCUGAGCCUGACAUUAAUCUCCAUGUUGGAAAAGGUAGCCUUGGUACUAUACAAUAGCACUGAAACCUUAUUGUCAUGAUAAACCACUUUUCUAGUAAGAGCUGUAUCCAAUUAUAUCCCUCCCUCCCCUGACAGAAUGCUCUUUGAUUCAGCUAAGGUUUCUGUGAGUUGAAAGGGGGGGAUAGAUUUUUCACUGAAUUCUCCUUUCCUCUCCAGCCCCCUCCCUCAACCUCCUUCACAGGGUUGGAGGAACCUUUAACAGUGUGGAAAGAGGCACAGGGGACUCUGAAUGAGAGAGAAAGCUUUUGUAUGGGGGGGGAACCCCAACUCUUCUGUUCCUCUCCCACCCCUUCCUGCUCUGCUGAAUGAAAGAUCCAUCAGUGGAGGGCAGUGCACAAUUGCAGUGGAGCCUAAGCAUUUAACAUAAGCAGAAUCCUGCUUGAUCAAUAUGGCUAGCCAGUUGGCUAUGGGAGCCCAUAAGUGAGGCAUGAUGGAUAUACCUCUCUUCUGCUUAGGGACCCCAGCAACUGACACUCAGAAGCCUAUGGCCUCUUAUACUCCUAUACUGGCCAUUUUUUGGCCUUAGCCUCCAUGAAUUUGUUUAAUCCUGUUUCCAAAUCAACCAGAUUGAUGGCCAUCACUAGAUUUUCCAUAGUUCUAGCUAUGUGCUUUCUAAGAAGUAUUUCAUAGAAUCAUAGAGUUGGAAGAGACCACAAGGGCCAUCCAGUCCAACCCCCUGCCAAGCAGGAAACACCAUCAAAGCAUUCUUGACAUAUGCCUGUCAAGCCUCUGCUUAAAGACCUCCAAAGAAGGAGACUUCACCACACUCCUUGGUAGCAAAUUCCACUGCCGAACAGCUCUUACUGUCAGGAAGUUCUUCCUAAUGUUUAGGUGGAAUUUCCUUUUGUCUGUCCUGAGUCUUCCAGCAUUCAUUGGAUGACCGUGGCUUCAAUUAUAGGAGUACGUUCAAAACUUCUUUCUUUCCACUGUCUCAGCACCAUGCAUAAUUUUAUAGCUUCUAUUUCAUCCUCCCCCUCCCUUACAUACCAUUUUUUCCCUAAACCAAAAAAGCUCCAAGCUUCAUAUCUUCAUACAGGAAUUUCUCCAGCAACUUGAUCUUGUUGGUUGAAAAUGAAUAUGAAUAUAAACCUACCACAAUAUAAUCUUAUUAGGCAAGUUCUGUUCUGGUGCCUAGACAUUCUAAUGGGAUGGUCUACCCAGUCUGUGAGGUUGUAGAAAUUGAUAUAUAAAUGUAAUUGUGAUUAUGCAGAACACCAUGCGUGCAAGUUACAGGAGUGAGGAGGCAGAGUCGAAAAACAGCUUAACAACUUGGAGCCCAUAAAUAAGAGACAAAUUGUGGAGCUAGAUGACAUCAUAUUGGCUGCCUCGAAAAAUUAGAUGAGAAGCAACUUUCAGAACAGUAAAGAAGAACAAACAUGUCAGUAUAUAGCAAUAAUCUAAGCAAGGUAGGAUGAUAAACUGCAACAUUUAGGCAAUAUUUAAACUGUAUGAGUAUCCUGCACAAUUAUGUUCAAUGACAUGUCUGUCCUCUACAUGUUUAUUUUGGGUCAGUAUACAUUACCAGUUCCUAUUUUAUCUCUUCAAAGCUAUAUGUCAUCCCCAUGUGUUGGGUUUUGUUUCUUUUUAAAUAACUCUUAGUCUUUACCCUGAAGUUGCCUGGGACUGAAUAACAUUCUUAUCCCCGGAGAGGAAGAUGUCUCAAGGUUGCAGUUGACUGUGCACUGGCAAAGUAUCACGAGGGACUCUCCAUUGUAAGAAUAAAUAAGGGGCUUCCGUUUAACAAGAGGAGUUGGGAAGCAGGAAUGAUCUGGUUCUGCAGUGGUUUGGGUGGGGAAUUGUUCAAGGCAUGAACAAGUGGCAAGAAUACACUUGGUUAAUUAUUUGCUGUGGGCUUCAGGUGGAUAGUUCUGUAAGAGGGGAAAAACAUGCAGCAGUUUCUGAAGUCUGCUUAUCUUCUGCUUGUAGCAGAAUGUGAAUUCUGAGGAAUUGAAUUGACAAGGAGGCAAGAAAUGCUAAGGAGUCGAAACACUUACUUUCAAAGCUGCUGAAGUUUAAUACUACAAUGCACAUACAACAGAAAUGACAAAGGCACCCUGUAUCUGGGUUAACAUUUCAAUAUGAUCAGGGUUGACGAAAAGCAAGGUUAAAAAAUAAAUAAAUCCAUGCCACAAUGGUCUAAAUUCCACAAGAAGGAGAAGAAGCUGUCUCCUGCAAACUCUGUUGCUGGUGAAAGUUCAGCAUAUUUUCAUGAUUCAUCUAAUUUUGGGUAAUUUGGUUUCCCAAACUUAACUCAGAAAUGCAGAAUGGGAGAGAGUACCGGUAAAUGACAUGUUCAAAGAUGGUGAGGUAUGGCAUUCUGAAAAAAAGGCCCUGUUGCACAGAAAAACAAACUCUGACAUGUCAAAAUUAUGCACAUUGAAUCUGCAUAUUUUGGGUUAUUUUACAUAAUUUAUUUUGCAUCAGAUAGUGAUGGGAGAAGGCAAUAAAUUGUUACUGAAUUGUUAAGGCUAGGCUGACACUUUGGGCCACUUUAGAUAUAACAAUCUUGGUUUAAUAUACCAUAGUUUAUUAAACUGAGAAUGAAUGCCAUGCCUGUGCCUCUUUCACCUCUGUCCGUUUGACACUUCUAUCAUGGUUUGUUUAAGCCAGUCUCCUCUGACAUCCAGACCAGGAAACUAGUUUAAUCUCAGAUUACUAACCAAGAUACGAAGCCAGGCUCAGAAACCUGGUUGCCAAAAGAAACUUUAUUUAUGGAAAGCAAAUGCAAGUUCCCCUUCCCAACAGUGUCUGCAUUCCAGCCCUGCCAGGUCCCAAUAAGGAGCUGAGGAUGCUCCAGUCCCUCAGAUAGGAAAGUGCUGGAGAUGGCAGCUAAUGGAAGGGAAAAGGGUGCAAGAAAGUCUAUUGAAUAAGAAGCACCCCUUCCUUUCAUCUUCCUGCCAUCUGGAAACAGUGCUUUGCUUCUUCCACAAUCUAAGGUGAUGGCACAACAACUACAGUUUUAUACAUGGAGCCAUUUUCAUGAAUGUCCAUCCUUUGUCUGCUUUAUGCUUAAGAUUCCUUCAGGAUCAGUUCUCAGGUAACACUGAACACCUACUGAUCUUCCUUUGCACACCCUUCUCUUAAAGGCACAUACACAAUUUGCCACAUACCGUCCGCUCAUGAGCGGUAGCACAUAGUUCAGGCCUGGUGUUAUGUCAGAACAGUGCUCCUCUCUACCUUGUUUUUCUUCAGGAAGUUCAAGAAGUUCUUAAUGUGCAGAACUGAAGGACCCAAAGAGGAGGCCCUCAGCCAUCAAAUCCAGACCAUUCAAAAUUAUUUGUUUAAAUCCAGCUAUAAGUCAAUUAACCAUGAAAGCUAUGUGGGCUGUUAUAAGCUGUUUUGACUUGCAAUCUCAACAAGCAUACUUAAAAAAAAACUUUUAAAAAGGCAAUGUUAAUUAGGACUCUGGUCUUUGAGGUGCUGAAUCUCCCAUAAUUUGACUUCCUAAUCAUUCCAUAAAAGAGGUGACGCUUACCUAAAAAUACAUUUUUUUUAUCCUGUUGUUUAGGGCUUACACAGAUUCUAAGCUUCAGGAGCCAUAGUGUAUGGCAAAUUCACCACUUGCUGAGCAGCAUACGUCUUAAGAGGUUCUUUUGAACUCCAGCUGGAUUUUCUAUGCACUGUGGAUUUUCAUUUUGCCUUUUAAUUUUUUACUUUAAUGAAUUACUUUUAACAAAAGAACGAAGUAACAACCAAGCUUUUAAAAGAAUAGAAAUGUGUGGACCUUAAGAGAGAGAAAUUAAAUUGACUUCAGGAAAACUAAUUAAAAACUUGAGAAAAUUCCAUUCAAAAUGGCUGGCCUGUACGUUAAGGAACAUAGGAAGCUGCCUUAUACGAUUGGUCCAUCUAGCUCAGUAUUGUCGACACUGGCUGGCAGUAGCUCUUUGAGAUUUCACAGUGGGUAUUUCCCAGCCCUACCUGCAGGUACUGGGAUUGAACCUGGUAUAAACAAAACUGCUCACAGUAGCAACUAAACAAAACCACGUCAUCCAGUAAAAUUAAUCUAAAAACUAACAAGGCAGAAGAGAAUAAAAACAGCAGCAGUGACGCUCAGAGCAUCAUCAUCAUCAUCAUCAUCAUUUAUUAUUUAUACCCCACCCAUCUGGCUGGGCUUCCCCAGCCACUCUGCGCAGCUCCCAACAGAACACUAAAACAGAAUAAAACUUCAAACACUAAAAACGUCCCUAAACAGGGUUGCCUUCAGAUGUCUUCUGAAAGUCAGAUAGUAGUUUAUUUCCUUGUCAUUUGGUGGGAGAGCGUUCCACAGGGCGGGUGCCAUUACCAAGAAGGCCCUCUGCCUGGUUCCCUGUAACCUCACUUCUUGCAGUGAGGGAACUGCCAGAAGACCCUCAGAGCUGUACCUCAGUGUCCAGGCUGAAUGAUGGGGUGGAGGCGCUCCUUCAGGUAUACUGGGCCGAGGCCGUUUAGGGCUUUAAAGGUCAGCACCAACACUUUGAAUUGUGCUCGGAAACGUACUGGGAGCAUCCCAAAAAGCCUCGUCUUUGCUCUGCCAGACAGCAAACGGCAGUGAAGCCAACAGUAAUAUCUCUGUUACUUUCUUGGGAGGCUUUUCCUGGAGUAUGUAUGCAGUGGGUAGGAAGCAGGGUAAACAUAUGCUUAGCUGAAUUUGUGGCCUCUGGGGUGGUGGUGGAAUUGCCUCUUGAUAACCAUAUUGUUGUGGUUUGAUCAGUUCCUCAGUAGUCCUGUAAAUAUUAACACUGUGACUUCCCAGGGCAGAUCAGGUGGUAGUUUUGCCAAGAAGGAAGUACUUUCAGCCCAAAACACAAAAUAAUCGCUGCUUACUAAAGCCACAGCUACCCAGGGGCUGGUUUGGUGUCACCUGAAUCUGUUUCUUACAACAAAUGUGCAUGUUAUAUCAUUGUUCAUAUACCUGGGAUGAAAGGUGAAUGAGAGCAAAUGUGAAUCUUUUUCCUGAACUUGGGUGUCCUCCUGUUCUUCAUUCGGAAUGAGAGUCUCUGCUCAAAGAUACAGAAAAAUCUCUGCCUCCUGCUGUUACUGUGAAGAAACCCAAAGCACGAACCUCACCAUCUAAAGUGUUUUGCUAGAUUUCACAAUCUCCCUGUAAAUGUACCUUGGAAAACGAGUAACAGCAGGAAUCGGCACUGUAUUGUGUGACAGUCCAUAAUUAGUCUUUUUGCAUUGCAAAAAUGAUUAUUAGCACUUCAGUUCAUUAUCAAAGCAAAUUUAAUUUUUAUAUGUAGAGGGAGCUGACUGUAUUUGAAAAGGAAGUUUUGUUUAUAUAGCCUGAAAAAAUUAAUUCCUGACAAAUGUGAAGGAAAUUGAUAGAUUUUAACCAGGAAUAUAUUUGUGUAUGCCUAAUUGUCCUUUGUGAAAAGUAUCUGCUCUACAUGCCAGCAUAGAUCUCUAUUACAAAUGAGUAAUUUAAAUUAUGGUGUUUGGGGUUGGAUUUUUUAAAAAAUCUACCUGAUCCCAUAUUAUACCCCAUUAAAUUCAACAUGGUUUACAUACAUGUUAAGUAUGAAUAGGAUUGAACCCAAUGUAUUUCAAAAUGUAAGUUAAUUUAACAAAGGGAAGCAUCAAUCACUUACAUCAAAACUGCUAUCCUGGUCAGAAAUAGCCUUCUGAAAUCAAGUAAGCUAAAAAAUAAAUCAACUUCACAUUUAAUGUGGCAGCUGUGCUCAUUAAAUGAUCUUACACCAGUACUGUACUGUAAUUGUACUCUGCCCAGCCCAACAUAUGUGAGUGUUACAAAAAUAAAAUGGAAGAAUCCUCUAUAUCGCUCAACCAAGUGCUUUGAGAAUGCUUAUCAUCAAGGCAUAAAAGCAAUGACUGUUCCCUAUAGUUUGCCCCCAGAAUAUGAUAUUCAAAGAAAUAACACCUCUGAUCAUGAAGAAGACCCCAUUUAGUUAUCAAGGUGGAUCCAUCCUCCAUAAAUCUGUCUAAUCCUAUUUUGAAACCACCUAAUCUCUAAGAGGAACUACCAUUCCAUAAGAGGAUUCUUGCCUCCCAAUUCCUUUUCGUCUCCCCUUAUAAUUCAGAUUGAAAUAUAAUUUAUUUUUGCUGAUUUUACUCUGUAAAGGACCACAUAUAUAUCAAUGGUACUAUAUAAAUAUGACUGCCCUUGAAACGUUUCCCUUGCCUUUAAUUUGGCCUAUGCUUCGCCUCUGUUGGAUCUUUUGGUUUGUAAGAGUAUAAGAAUCUCCUUUCUUGUAACUUGAAUCCAUUGCUUUGGGUCCUAGCCUCUGGAGCCAAGAGAAAAGAAGCUUGCUCCACCUUGUACGCGACAGUCCUUUAGAUAUUUGAAGAUGGCUAUCAUAUCACUUCUCAGUCUCCUCUUUUCCAGGCUAAACAUCCCCAGCUCCCUCGACCUUUCCUCAUAAGUGUUUCCAGACACUUUAUCACCUUGCUCUCCCUCCACUGCACAUGUUCUAGCUUGUCAAUAUCCUUCUUAAAUUUUAGAUGUUUUUGUUUUGUUUUGUUGUUUAGUUUAAGAUUGUGCCUGAAGAAGAGUAGCACCAAGCUCAAAAACUGUUAUAUGACUUUUAACUUUCAGGUGUUUUAGGGUGCUGUAUUUGUUUACAUUACUUUGAAUUGAAAUCAUAUAUUGGGUAAUCGGAGGUAUUGUUUCGUUGCUAUGGUUGUGAGCAGCCCUGAAGGCUUAUUUGACCAUUAAGGAGGGAUAUAAUUAUAACGGAUGCAACCCCAACAUGGAAAACAAUGAAAUAAUCAAUGGAGGAAAAUGUGUUGCCUAGUCCUUUGGCAUCUGCCUGUUCAUUUAAAAUUAAUCAAACUCCAUCUUUCCAGUUGUUUAAGUAUUAAGGCACUCUUGGAUGUUGUUUUAAACUGAUAGGGGUAACCCGUUACCUUGGUCAGCAUGAUUUUGAAACCGGAAAUGUAGCAGUAUUGUCACUGAAGUGUUUUAUUCUAUCAGCCACUGUGUCCGAGGAACUCAGGGUAGUGGCACAGAUUCUUAUGCUCUCUCCUCACUUUAAUUCCCCACCUUUGGCCAUGCUGGCUGGGAAUGAUGGGAGAUGUAGUCCAAUGACACCGAAAGGGCAUCCAGUUAGUAAUCCUAUCUGAAAGGUAACAUCUGGGUCAAGAUCACCCAGUGAGCUUCAUAACUGAAAUGGAGUUUUUAACCUGUUCCAACAUUUCAGCCAUGAAACCACACAAGCUCUUUGAAAAAGGCAAGCGAAGAUCUGUUCAUUGCUGUGGUGCCUUUCAUAGUGCUGUGGUCUUCCUGAGACUGCUCUCCCUCCCCCAUUACCCCAUUACUUCCUCCCUCCCCACUCUACUAUUCCUAGUGCUGCUAAUAGCAACACAAUGUUCUACUGUUUCACAAAUCUGAAGACUUGUUUCCUCCUCUGGAUAAACUAUUUGGCCUCUGGACAAGAUUAUUUCCAUAUGGAACAGGAUUGUUAUCACUUAAUAGAAAAUAAUUAUCCAAUGCAAAUUGACUUACGGGUUGUCGAGCUGGCUAGAAAGCAGCAAGCUUCACGGAGCAUUUUAAAGGCUGCCUCGCUGGCUGUUUAAGUACAUGUAGCUGCAGAGAUAAAGCCCGAUAUUUAUUUUUCCUGAGACCGAGGGGCAUUAGGAAUUCAGAACAUAGACGCAAAAAAUAACCUCCAGUGCUUUGAAAAGUAUGCGUAUUCAAUAAUGGAAAGUAAUGGCAAAUUUCAAUAAAGGUGGCAUAGACAAGAGCGAAGGCAGCUAACCUGUGGCACUUUCAGAGCUUGCUGUGCUCCGACUCCCAUCAACCCUGGCCAUUGGCCCUGCAGUCUGGAGUGACUGCCCCUCUAUUAUUGUCCAUGUCAGGUCGCUCAACGAUUGCUACUGUGUCUUUUCUUUUAGCAGAUCAAGAUGAUCAGGUGACAGCAAAAACUGCAAGGUUUUUGCAGGUGUGCAUAAUCCAAUCAGUGGUUGUAUUCCACCCUGCAUAAAAGUCCAGCACUGAAAAAUUAGCUCAGUUCACUUUAAAAUGUGGGCCAAAUGAAUUUGCCCUUCAUCCCUAUUGUAAACACUUUGGUAUUACAAAAUGCCCUGUAAGAUUCCUGUUAGUAUUUACAAGGGAAAUGACUUUGACAGCUAUCCAGAAAGAAUUGCCUUCCUUUGCAAGGGCCAAAGUCAUUUAGCGUGCACACACACACAAAAAGCUGUGGCCAUAAAAUAUUUCUAUGGAAUUAGUUUGCAUGUAACUUUUUUCCAUAUUUGAUCUAGGACUGCAAGAUUUAUUAAAUUAGAAUUACUCCAAAGGGCUGGAGCAAUAGGGGGCAUUUCUUUUUCUUUCCUUUUUUAAUUGGAACAUUUUGAUAUUGUUUUAAAGAUCCUGAUCACUCCCAUUUUUCUCCCCUCCAAUUUGGAUUCCAGUAAUUAAAACACUUUUGAGGAUGCUCUGCUCCCCUAAGUAAUAAGUAGUUUACCCAAUUAAUUACACUAUUAGUUAAAUAUGUAUUUUUGUAACAUGCAUAUUCACCCAAGUAUUUACUUGAACUACCAAAUGCAUAUUUAAAUAUGUAUCAUACAUUUUAAUGCAUAAUAAUUAUUUGGGAGAAAGUGAGAAUCCUUCUGAGACAUACCUGUCUAGGGAACAGAAAUGCAUACCUGCCAGUAGAGUUUUGCCUCACUACAAACAUGGCUGCCACUCUUGUUCUGAGGGUCUUCUACAAAAAUCUGGGAAUCUGAACCCAUCACCACCACCACCUCUCUCUCUCUCUCUCUCUCUCUCUCUCUCUCUCUCUCUCUCUCUCUCUGUGUGUGUGUGUGUGUGUGUGUGUCCUAUGGAAAGUAGAUGGCAUUUUAGUCAGUUUUCCCCCUCCAUGAAAGCCACCACACAGGAAUUGAGUGUCACAGGUAGUAAGUAACUCAAGUCUAUGAAUGGAGUAUUUCUGCUGCACUUAAAUCUAGGACACUGGUUCUUGUUCCGUUUCCCCAACUUGUAAGACAUUCCAGGAUGAGUUUCCUUGACAGCAGAGAGUUGUAGAAACUUAAGACUGUAGUAAGCUGGGCAGGAAGUCUGUAGGAAGCAGUGGUACUAAAUUCAUUCUGGUGGCUUAAGCAGAAGGCGUUACUGAUCUUCAUCCCUUCUUGGUCUUCCUUAAAGCCCAGUCCCAGAGGUGUGUUUCUGCACUCAUCACCCAACUGGGGACAAUAAAAAUGGAAUAGUAGUCCCAAAAGAAGGUCAGUUGUUCAGAGGACAUGUUUGAAGACUUUUUUUGUCAACAGGCCCAUUAGGUGGUUUAAAUUGUUAAAAUGAACCAAUCAUUUUUAUGACUCCCCUGUAUUAUUUUUUUUGGCAAUGUAUCUGGUUUCGCCAGAAGCAGAUUAGUCAUGCUGGCCACAUGACCCGGAAAAACUGACUGCGGACAAACGUCGGCUCCCUUGGCCAGUAAAGCGAGAUGAGCGCCGCAACCCCAGAGUUGUUCACGCCUGGACUGUCACCUAAAGGACUGGACCUUUACCUUUACCUUUUCUGUAAAUCUUGUACAUCUCCCUGGUGCAGGAUUGUCUUUGAAAUAAGUAACAAAAUGUGUAAAUUUUAUAUUUAAUUUAUUUGUAAAAGAAUUCAUAGUCAUAUGUUACAAAAUGCUGUAAAUAGGAGACAGUGCAGCUUAAAAGAAAUGUUCGAUAGCUGGCGCUAUUGAGCACCGUUGCUUCUGAAGAAGACUCAGGAAUGCAAAAUAGCCAUGCGACCACGUCAUUUACAGAUGUAGGUGGGCAUUUUGCUAUUUCUAACCAAUCGCAGCCAUACUUGACGCUGAAAUACAUGCCGACGAUUGCCACCAAAACAAAACACACACCAAAAAAAGCCUAAGGUACUUGGGGCACCCCCUCCACAGUGUCACUGAAAUAAAUGGGAUACACACAACCCUUGCACCAUCUGGUCAACUUCCAGGGGAAACGGUCCCAAAGAAAUAUUCUCAUUAUUUGGCAGCCUAGUUUGCUUUCCUUUACAAAAUCAAUUUUUCAGUGUGGAUUUUGGCUCUGGGGAAGCCCACUGAACUGAUGAAUAUUCAACAUGUGUAUAUUUUCAUAAACAUUAAUUCCACACUUAGUCACUUACAAAGUACUGUAUUGUCUAUUCCAGGCAUCCCCAAACUUCGGCCCCCCAGAUUUUUGGACUACAAUUCCCAUCAUCCUUGACCACUGGUCAUGUUAGCUAGGGAUCAUGGGAGUUGUAGGCCAAAACAUCUGGAGGGCCGCAGUUUGGGGAUGCCUGGUCUAUUCACUGCAUGCAGUUAACUGAUCAUAUUGCAUCUCUGUUGAUAGAUCUGCCCUGCAGUUAGACAAAGUACAAGAUCAGUGGAGUGGGUCGCCUCUACUUUUAAUGACACAUGUUUCCUAGGAAGAGCCCAUGUGCAAUGAAGGGUGCAGUGCAGGAGGCAACAUUCUCCCAGUGAAUACUCCUUAGCCGCCCUGGUCAGUCUCAGAGACUUCAUAAGAAACAUACAAGCAGGCAAUAAAAUGAAAAGCAUUCAUGUGAAACAGCAGCCCAUAGGUUUCUCUUAUGUCCGCUGCAGACGGCUCAAUUACCCCUGACAUUGUCUCUUGCAGGGGAACAGAGAGAGAGAGA